Molecule: small RNA, 154 nt
Filed under: Muricomes intestini
Lineage: Bacteria; Bacillati; Bacillota; Clostridia; Lachnospirales; Lachnospiraceae
Description: Clostridiales-1 RNA
Rfam family: Clostridiales-1 RNA
Source: RNAcentral
UGAUACCAGGGUCAAAAGGUCAUGCGUUUCACGCCUGCAUGAAAAAGCAUGACCUUGGGACCCAUAAAACAUGAGAAAGUAGCCCGAAUAGAGCGGAUUUCGAAUGUUUUUAGGAUUGCGGGAGCACAAAGUGCGUAGCAAUCCGUAGGUAUCA